Molecule: long non-coding RNA, 247 nt
Organism: Mustela erminea (ermine)
Lineage: Eukaryota; Metazoa; Chordata; Mammalia; Carnivora; Mustelidae
Exons: 3
Source: RefSeq, a predicted model, not a curated record
UGGGGUCCUCGUUGGUGAGUGGAUCUUUUGCGGCAUCGAGUGGAGGGUGACAGCGGAGAAGGUGGAGGGAAGCCCGGAAGGAGCGGGUGUGUGCAGUUUGCUUCACCGAUACGGAUUUGAUGUUUGGCGGUAACCAAUAUAAAGAUGUUCAUCUGUCAUUGAGGGUCCAUGUCCAACAUGAGGUUUGAACCCAUCAGCUAGGGAUUGAGAGUUGCAUACUCGACUGACUAAGCCAGUCAGGUACUGU